UCGUCGCUCGGUGAAUCAUCGAAUCUUUGAACGCAUCUUGCACCUCCCAGGUCUCCUGGAAGGUAUACUUGUUUGAGUAUCAUGUACACUACUCCUCGCAGCGCUUUGCUUGCUGCCAGGGAAUUGAGAUGCCAAGUGUGCUCCUCCUCUAGGGCGGGGUGUGCCUGUGUCUUUUAAUGAACAUGCUGCGUGAGUCUGCACCCGCAAGGCGCGGCGCUGCAGGGACUACACACACUAAAUGUGAGAUAAACAUCGCACAGUCGCGUGUGUGUCUAUUGCGCGGCUACACUCCUCCCUCCUCCUCAUAUUGUGAUCUCAAAUCAAGUAAGACUACCCGCUGAACUUAAGCAUAUCAAUAAGCGGAGG
This 366-nucleotide ribosomal RNA is filed under the name Diptera environmental sample. RNAcentral describes it as "eukaryotic LSU rRNA". The stretch from base 311 to 366 matches the Rfam family "Eukaryotic large subunit ribosomal RNA", at positions 1 to 56 of the family's 3401-position model. The record is from RNAcentral. Lineage: Eukaryota; Metazoa; Arthropoda; Insecta; Diptera.